GAAUGGAGCACGCCGCGUGUGUGAUGAAAGGGUUUCGGCUCGUAAAACACUGUUGUAAGAGAAGAAUGACAUUGAGAGUAACUGUUCAAUGUGUGACGGUAUCUUACCAGAAAGGAACGGCUAAAUACGUGCCAGCAGCCGCGGUAAUACGGAGGAUGCAUCCGUGCCAG
RNAcentral lists this ribosomal RNA (170 nucleotides) under uncultured bacterium. RNAcentral describes it as "partial 16S ribosomal RNA". It matches the Rfam family "Bacterial small subunit ribosomal RNA", at positions 384 to 541 of the family's 1533-position model. The record is from RNAcentral.